This 253-nucleotide ribosomal RNA is filed under the name uncultured prokaryote. RNAcentral's name for it is "partial 16S ribosomal RNA". It matches the Rfam family "Bacterial small subunit ribosomal RNA", at positions 524 to 776 of the family's 1533-position model. The record is from RNAcentral.
UACGGAGGGUGCAAGCGUUAUCCGGAUUUACUGGGUUUAAAGGGUGCGUAGGUGGGUUUGUAAGUCAGUGGUGAAAUCUCCGGGCUUAACUCGGAAAUUGCCAUUGAUACUAUAGGUCUUGAAUCAUCUGGAGGUAAGCGGAAUAUGUCAUGUAGCGGUGAAAUGCUUAGAUAUGACAUAGAACACCAAUUGCGAAGGCAGCUUACUAAGUCGUGAUUGACGCUGAGGCACGAAAGCGUGGGGAGCAAACAGG